CCCCUCUCAGGAUUGCACCUGGAGAGUUUCCAGUACUUUACCAGUCCCAACUAUGGGAGAGAGAGUGAAGCAGAGGCUUACCCAUUCCAUUCCUAGCUUGGGCAGUGACUAGAGAGUGAAAGACAAUCUGCUAUAACU
Small nucleolar RNA from Tachyglossus aculeatus (Australian echidna), 138 nucleotides. NCBI's taxonomy places the organism in Eukaryota, Metazoa, Chordata, Mammalia, Monotremata, Tachyglossidae. The record is from RefSeq and is a predicted model, not a curated record.